UGUAUGGUUAAGUGACUAAGCGUACACGGUGGAUGCCUGGGCAGUCAGAGGCGAUGAAGGACGUACUAACUUGCGAUAAGCGCAGAUAAGGCAGUAAGAGCCGUUUGAGUCUGCGAUUUCCGAAUGGGGAAACCCAACUGCAUAAGCAGUUACUGUUAACUGAAUACAUAGGUUAACAGAGCAAACCGGGGGAACUGAAACAUCUAAGUACCCCGAGGAGAAGAAAUCAACCGAGAUUCCGGUAGUAGCGGCGAGCGAACCUGGAUUAGCCCUUAAGCACUCGGUGAAGUAGGUGAACAAGCUGGAAAGCUUGGCGAUACAGGGUGAUAGCCCCGUAACCGACGCUUCAUCGAGCGUGAAAUCGAGUAGGGCGGGACACGUGAUAUCCUGUCUGAAUAUGGGGGGACCAUCCUCCAAGGCUAAAUACUCCUGACUGACCGAUAGUGAACCAGUACCGUGAGGGAAAGGCGAAAAGAACCCCUGUGAGGGGAGUGAAAUAGAACCUGAAACCGUGUACGUACAAGCAGUAGGAGCACCUUCGUGGUGUGACUGCGUACCUUUUGUAUAAUGGGUCAGCGACUUAUAUUCAGUGGCAAGGUUAACCGUAUAGGGGAGCCGUAGCGAAAGCGAGUCUUAACUGGGCGCUCAGUCUCUGGAUAUAGACCCGAAACCGGGUGAUCUAGCCAUGGGCAGGUUGAAGGUUGAGUAACAUCAACUGGAGGACCGAACCGACUAAUGUUGAAAAAUUAGCGGAUGACUUGUGGCUAGGGGUGAAAGGCCAAUCAAACUCGGAGAUAGCUGGUUCUCCCCGAAAGCUAUUUAGGUAGCGCCUCGGACGAAUACUACUGGGGGUAGAGCACUGUUAAGGCUAGGGGGUCAUCCCGACUUACCAACCCUUUGCAAACUCCGAAUACCAGUAAGUACUAUCCGGGAGACACACGGCGGGUGCUAACGUCCGUCGUGGAGAGGGAAACAACCCAGACCGCCAGCUAAGGUCCCAAAGUAUUGCUAAGUGGGAAACGAUGUGGGAAGGCUCAGACAGCUAGGAUGUUGGCUUAGAAGCAGCCAUCAUUUAAAGAAAGCGUAAUAGCUCACUAGUCGAGUCGGCCUGCGCGGAAGAUGUAACGGGGCUAAGCAAUACACCGAAGCUGCGGCAAUAUCUUUUAGAUAUUGGGUAGGGGAGCGUUCUGUAAGCCGUUGAAGGUGAAUCGUAAGGUUUGCUGGAGGUAUCAGAAGUGCGAAUGCUGACAUGAGUAACGACAAAGGGGGUGAAAAACCUCCUCGCCGGAAGACCAAGGGUUCCUGUCCAACGUUAAUCGGGGCAGGGUGAGUCGACCCCUAAGGUGAGGCCGAAAGGCGUAAUCGAUGGGAAACGGGUUAAUAUUCCCGUACUUCUGACUAUUGCGAUGGGGGGACGGAGAAGGCUAGGUGGGCCAGGCGACGGUUGUCCUGGUUCAAGUGCGUAGGCUUGAGAGUUAGGUAAAUCCGGCUCUCUUUAAGGCUGAGACACGACGUCGAGCUGCUACGGCAGUGAAGUCAUUGAUGCCAUGCUUCCAGGAAAAGCCUCUAAGCUUCAGAUAGUCAGGAAUCGUACCCCAAACCGACACAGGUGGUCGGGUAGAGAAUACCAAGGCGCUUGAGAGAACUCGGGUGAAGGAACUAGGCAAAAUGGUACCGUAACUUCGGGAGAAGGUACGCUCUUGAUGGUGAAGUCCCUCGCGGAUGGAGCUGACGAGAGUCGCAGAUACCAGGUGGCUGCAACUGUUUAUUAAAAACACAGCACUGUGCAAAAUCGCAAGAUGACGUAUACGGUGUGACGCCUGCCCGGUGCCGGAAGGUUAAUUGAUGGGGUUAGCGCAAGCGAAGCUCUUGAUCGAAGCCCCGGUAAACGGCGGCCGUAACUAUAACGGUCCUAAGGUAGCGAAAUUCCUUGUCGGGUAAGUUCCGACCUGCACGAAUGGCGUAAUGAUGGCCACGCUGUCUCCACCCGAGACUCAGUGAAAUUGAAAUCGCUGUGAAGAUGCAGUGUACCCGCGGCUAGACGGAAAGACCCCGUGAACCUUUACUACAGCUUGGCACUGAACAUUGAACCUACAUGUGUAGGAUAGGUGG
RNAcentral lists this ribosomal RNA (2112 nucleotides) under Vibrio cholerae. Its description in RNAcentral is "partial 23S ribosomal RNA". It matches the Rfam family "Bacterial large subunit ribosomal RNA", at positions 1 to 2150 of the family's 2925-position model. The record is from RNAcentral. Lineage: Bacteria; Pseudomonadati; Pseudomonadota; Gammaproteobacteria; Vibrionales; Vibrionaceae.